Small nuclear RNA from Heterocephalus glaber (naked mole-rat), 130 nucleotides. Its record names the gene U2. It matches the Rfam family "U2 spliceosomal RNA". Rfam says of the family: U2 is a small nuclear RNA (snRNA) component of the spliceosome (involved in pre-mRNA splicing). Complementary binding between U2 snRNA (in an area lying towards the 5' end but 3' to hairpin I) and the branchpoint sequence (BPS) of the intron results the bulging out of an unpaired adenosine, on the BPS, which initiates a nucleophilic attack at the intronic 5' splice site, thus starting the first of two transesterification reactions that mediate splicing. NCBI's taxonomy places the organism in Eukaryota, Metazoa, Chordata, Mammalia, Rodentia, Bathyergidae. The record is from Ensembl.
AUCGCUUCUUGGCCUUUUGGCUAAGAUCAAGUGUAUAGUGAUAAGAAAUUAUCCUAGAAGUUAUACUGAUUUCAAAAUAAACAAAUGAGUCCUCCUUUGUAGUUGUUAAUAUUUAAAAAGCAAAAGACUU